Non-coding RNA from Camelina sativa (false flax), 574 nucleotides. NCBI's taxonomy places the organism in Eukaryota, Viridiplantae, Streptophyta, Magnoliopsida, Brassicales, Brassicaceae. The record is from RefSeq and is a predicted model, not a curated record.
UGGAGACGUAUGGAAGAUUCACUUUCUUCUCAUUAAUGUUAAGGAUGAUAUUGAAUUACACCCAAACGAUGAAAAACCCCUCUUCUUGCUCUGUCCUAUUGAAGUGGAACUCGACAAUACACCAGUAUUUAAAGCAAAACCCUGUGAAAAAAAAGGUACUAGUCAUUGCAUCUGCCAACAAAUCCCUUCCACAGCUAGCAUUGACAAGAAAAAUUUCUACUGGACCCCUAAUACCCGCGUCAAAAGAUAUAUCAAUUUAACUAUCACUGAAAACACAUUGUAUUGUAGUUUAGUGAUAUAUAAGGCUAUUCUGAUGCUUUUUCUUCUUGUUUAUUAAACAGUAAUCUAGGCGAUGUGGACGUCUGAGCAGAUAGAAAACAAGGACAACAUUCCUUACGUAAAAUUACCGAUGGACCUUAAGAAGUUGCAUACUGCUAGAAAGAUGUGAGGAAUCCUUCUGCACUCAGGAGAAAGGGAGUCAUCAGAAAGUCGUGAAAAGGGAAAUGAGUGAUAAAAAAUUUAAAACAUAGUAGCUCUACCAAACUGAUUCAGGAAAAAUAUACUAUGAAAAGGG